RNAcentral lists this ribosomal RNA (377 nucleotides) under uncultured eukaryote. RNAcentral's name for it is "partial 18S ribosomal RNA". It matches the Rfam family "Eukaryotic small subunit ribosomal RNA", at positions 592 to 976 of the family's 1831-position model. The record is from RNAcentral.
CAAUAGCGUAUAUUUAAGUUGCUGCAGUUAAAAAGCUCGUAGUUGGAUUUCGGGUGGGAAUGGCCGGUCCGCCGUUUCGGUGUGCACUUGCUACGCCCACCUUGCUGCCGGGGACGUGCUCUUGAGUUCACGCUCGGGACACGGACUCGGCGAGGUUACUUUGAGUAAAUUAGAGUGUUCAAAGCAGGCCUACGCUCUGAAUACAUUAGCAUGGAAUAACACGAUAGGACUCUGGCCUAUCUUGUUGGUCUGUAGGACCGGAGUAAUGAUUAAGAGGGACAGUCGGGGGCAUUCGUAUUUCAUUGUCAGAGGUGAAAUUCUUGGAUUUAUGAAAGACGAACUACUGCGAAAGCAUUUGCCAAGGAUGUUUUCAUUAA